UCAGAAGUUGUUGGAAAUUUGUUGUGUUGAAAUUAUAAGGAGUCUUUGGAUGACGUUGUGCUUUUUUUUAUUGAUCGAAAUAGUGAAUUCAUUGCAUCUUUGUUUCACAUCCAUUUUAGAUCCAUUUUAGAAUGUUAAUUUCUUCGGAAAAUUUCACCAAUAAUAAAACCAAAAGAAGCUUCUGAUCAUGACAAAAUUGGACUGUUUCCAAUGAGUAGAGGAUAGCGAGGUGGGAGUUAUCAGAGUGAACAGUUUCCCUGUGAAUGCAGAACAAGGUCUACUCACAGAAACUACCGUCUGACAAAACUGUAAAAAUACGGGCAAUCUGAAAGUAAUAAAUCACCAAGUCUAGAUUUGACAAGCACCAAAAAUCCAACAAUGCACUGUUAUUGGAUGGACUAAACUGGAAAACAUUGUGGAUUUUUCUGCAGUUGGGCUAAAGUUUGUUGGUUAGAAGGGAAAAUAGCUUCCAGUUGAAAGGGCUGUUUGAUAUUACUACCUGACCGUGGCAAAAUUCUGUUACAAGCCGAUAAGACCAGAGCUGUGGCUAGGUUCUGGCGCGUGAUUUCUUUCAAUUUGCUAAUUCGUUUUGUAAGCAAUUUGUUUCUAUGCUUAGUCUUGUAAUAUCUCCUCUGUACGAUUGGAUAAAUUCCUGACUUGAGUGAUUUGGAUAAUAG
Molecule: long non-coding RNA, 677 nt
Filed under: Citrus maxima (pomelo)
Lineage: Eukaryota; Viridiplantae; Streptophyta; Magnoliopsida; Sapindales; Rutaceae
Description: long non-coding RNA (CMAX_LNC001857)
Source: RNAcentral